Populus euphratica (Euphrates poplar) is the source of this 932-nucleotide long non-coding RNA. RefSeq lists it as uncharacterized. NCBI's taxonomy places the organism in Eukaryota, Viridiplantae, Streptophyta, Magnoliopsida, Malpighiales, Salicaceae. The transcript is spliced from 2 exons. The record is from RefSeq and is a predicted model, not a curated record.
UGUCUUUUGACCUUUUGACUUCUUCCAGGAGUUACAUUCUUUAACUCCACACGUGAGAGAGGCAACGUUGGAGAAGAAGAAGCCGCAGGGGGAGCUCCUUGCCAUCGCGUCGGUCAUGGUGAAGAUUGUUACUGAAGGCGGCGCUUUUAGGAUAGGGUGGAGGCUGUGAUAAAAAGAGGAAAGAAAAAGUAUUUGUGAAAGAUAUGGCUCCUCCGAAGGUUUACUUGUUUGAUGAGAUUGCCAAGCACAAGAAAACCGAGGAUUGCUGGCCGAAUAUCUCUGGAAAGGUCAGAUCUCUUUCUAAAAGUUUCAAUUUUUUGUAGAUUUGAGAUCAAAAGGGGGCAAUUCUGUUUGGUAGCUGAGAAAAAUUAGUGUGAGAUACAAGAUGAGAACUUUGACUUGUUGUGGUUAGUUUUAUUUACCCUUUUGGAUUUUUUGUGUAUUGAAAACUAAAUAUGUAUCAGUGCUAUCAAUUUUAUUGCAUGAUCAAGCUGUUAAAAGUUUAUUUUUAAUGCCUAGGACUGGAGAAGUUUGUUGAAAUUAAAGGACUACCUUAUCUAAUGCCUUCUCUCGGUAAACAGUGAACCAGUAAUAUCAAUACUGCAUAAACUUGCUAGAAAACAUGCCUAGGUUUAUGGCAGUUCACUUAUUAUUCUCAUGUCCAUUGUCUGCACUAAAUCAGACUAGCUCCAUUACAAAAUCAAAUCCCAGCAGCAUGUUCUCAUAAGUAAUUUUUAGAUGUUUUUCUAAGUGAAAACUGAACAACACCAUGCAUUUAAAAAUGAGCCUUUUUGUUAGCAUCGCAGUGCAGUCCAUUGGUCAUCAUUCAUUUUUCUUGCAUCUAGUCUUGUAACAAUGCAUGUAAAAAUAAGCUCCUUCCACUCCUUUUCAUCUUAUAUUUCCAGUUAUUAUAAACAACAUUUUAGAACUCU